Molecule: ribosomal RNA, 253 nt
Filed under: uncultured bacterium
Lineage: Bacteria
Description: partial 16S ribosomal RNA
Rfam family: Bacterial small subunit ribosomal RNA
Source: RNAcentral
UACGAAGGGGGCUAGCGUUGCUCGGAAUCACUGGGCGUAAAGCGCACGUAGGCGGAUCUUUAAGUCAGAGGUGAAAUCCCAAGGCUCAACCUUGGAACUGCCUUUGAUACUGGGGAUCUCGAGUCCGGAAGAGGUUGGUGGAACUGCGAGUGUAGAGGUGAAAUUCGUAGAUAUUCGCAAGAACACCAGUGGCGAAGGCGGCCAACUGGGCCGGUACUGACGCUGAGGUGCGAAAGCGUGGGGAGCAAACAGG